Molecule: long non-coding RNA, 2088 nt
Organism: Aquila chrysaetos chrysaetos
Lineage: Eukaryota; Metazoa; Chordata; Aves; Accipitriformes; Accipitridae
Exons: 2
Source: RefSeq, a predicted model, not a curated record
UUCCCAGUCUGGCCAUGGGACAUUGACCACGAUAGACUCAGUGCCCAGGAGCUGCAGAGCCCCCCAGGUAUGCCACCCCCCAAAACAGGAUGCAAAAAGAUGUCUUUGGCAUCCAUCCCCAGUUUGAUUCCAGAUCGGGGCAGAUGGGCUGCUGAAAACUAGAGCCUCAUGGUCCAGCGCCUCUGGCCAUCUACAGUGUUUCCCUGAAGAUGCCAUUUCCCAGCAGUUCGUGUUGGGGGCACAAGCAGAGACACACGGGUCAGAUCCAAUUUGGGGCACAUUGCUAUUGCCCAGAAGGAGAUGGAGAAAAGGAAAAUGGGCUUUUGGGGAGCAAAUGCUGCUUCUCUUCCAAAGCCCACAGCCCAACGCAGAGCUGCUUAGGCCCAGCAGACACAGUCUGCUCCAAUUCUGCUUUAAUGGAUGUCUGGGGAUAUUUAGCACAGAAGCUACACCUUCUUUACAGGGAGUGUAAUGGUAUGGUAUGGUAAUGCACGGUAAUUUUCCUGAAUGCUUCCAUAAGAGCAGGUCUCAGCUGUAACAGGGAACAAGGGAAAAAGCAUGACCCAGAGAUGCAGCCCUCUUGUGAAAUACAACAGUCCUAGCGCUUGAAGGUGGGUUUUUUUGGUCAGUCCAUUAACGAAAGUGUGAAAUAAAUACUAGACUAGACAUUACUUUAAUUGUUAAUGGAUUGAUUUUCAAAGGCUGAAGGAAGGACAGCAGUAAAUCAGUGCGAGACAGCCUGGCUGGACAGCUCAGGAGUCUACGGGAAAAGAGUGUUUGCAGAUUCAGCUCUGCUCCUCUCCGCUGGCUCCCACCCCAAUAAAUGCACUUAGCCCUUCACAUAUUCAUUUUAUGUUCAUUCAGUGCAGCAAAUACAGCAUGUUCACCUAUUUGUCUUGUUGGGGUCCUUGUUUUGACUCGAUACAGCCUAGUGCUUUGGAAUGACUGCUGUAAAAGGGGAUCAGGAUUGCCACCUUGAACUACUGACAGCCAAGACAUGUUUUGUGUCUGGGACUAAAACUCUUCCAAAAAUUCUCCUCUUCUGUCCAUCUAGCAUCUUCACACUGUUCAGCCCUGUCCUCUUGCACAGGAAAAAGCCCCGGAUGUUCAUGCCACACACCUUCAGUCCCAAUCCUGCUGUUUCACCUGAUUUCACCCCAAUCCUAAUUCAACCAUGAAGAGAUCUGUCCUUCCAGAACAUCUCAUGGUCAAGAGCAGGAGACUUGCCAGAUUUCUUCCCUAUCAGAAGUCUUCCCCCUGCCCAUUGGGACCUAUGCACCAAGGCUGAGAAGGAAGGCCACCAAGAUUUCAUCUGCAUGACCCAAAAGGACUUCUCCCUGCCUAUUUCUUAGAAAAACAGAUCAACUCUUCUCCUUGAAGAUUUCUAUGCAGACAGCAAUGUAAACAAAGCCAAAAAAGAAAAAGCCAAAAAUGCAAUCCUUCUUCCAGAUGGUGAUUGCCCAGAAAGCACGCACGAAGGCAGCAGGUGACACGCCAUGAAUAGAUGCUGGAUUUACAAGAAAGUGUCCAGAGCAUCAACGUCUCCCAAAGCCAUGGAGUUACAACGCCAAGAAAUAUAUCAGCUCCUGCUACAUUUUCCUGGGACCACACAACAGCAGAAGAAAGAGCCAUUCAGCUCCCAAAACCUGAGCACAACCUCACAGGAAGAGUUGCUUGAGUCCUAUUCCAGUCUCUCCCAUGUUUCCAGCAUGCCUUCUUCAUGCCCUUCGGUCACGUCCAAAAGACAGCAGCCACCAAGAUCAGAGGUCCCACAGCCCCUUAAGCUACAAAGCCCAUGGUAAGGAGAAUAACCGGAUCCACUUAAUGCCAGCAGCUGCCUGCAUUUCGAAGAACACUGUGUGCAGCAGUGAGCCUGAUCCUCACUACUUACAGGUAAUUAGAGUGGAUCGUGCUUUCACCAAAAAUUCAUUUAGAGCAAAAUCCCUCAAGCCCUAACAGGAAAAAAGGGAGUACACAAUGCUACCCACUUCACUGAUAUUUUAUUGUUUGCCAUCAUUAUUUGGAAUUUUCCAGGGACUGAUCAUUUCAGGUUAUUGUGGACGAGGCCAUUAAAAAUCCUGUCUGCAA